Molecule: ribosomal RNA, 29 nt
Filed under: Sporobolus australasicus
Lineage: Eukaryota; Viridiplantae; Streptophyta; Magnoliopsida; Poales; Poaceae
Description: partial 28S ribosomal RNA
Source: RNAcentral
GCGACCCCAGGUCAGUCGGGAUUACCCGC